UACGUAGGGGGCAAGCGUUGUCCGGAUUUAUUGGGCGUAAAGAGCGUGUAGGCGGCCUUACAGGUCAGCUGUGAAAACUCGAGGCUCAACCUCGAGACGUCGGUUGAAACCGUAAGGCUAGAGUCCGGAAGAGGAGAGUGGAAUUCCUGGUGUAGCGGUGAAAUGCGCAGAUAUCAGGAAGAACACCCGUGGCGAAGGUGGCUCUCUGGGACGGUACUGACGCUGAGACGCGAAAGCGUGGGGAGCGAACAGG
RNAcentral lists this ribosomal RNA (253 nucleotides) under uncultured bacterium. Its description in RNAcentral is "partial 16S ribosomal RNA". It matches the Rfam family "Bacterial small subunit ribosomal RNA", at positions 524 to 776 of the family's 1533-position model. The record is from RNAcentral.